UACGAAGGGGGCUAGCGUUGUUCGGAAUUACUGGGCGUAAAGCGCGCGCAGGCGGUCUUCCAAGUCAGUGGUGAAAGCCCGGAGCUCAACUCCGGAACUGCCAUUGAAACUGUUGGACUUGAGUACGAGAGAGGUGAGUGGAAUUCCCAGUGUAGAGGUGAAAUUCGUAGAUAUAGGAAGGAACACCAGUGGCGAAGGCGACCACCUGGACUGAUACUGACACUGAGGUGCGAAAGCGUGGGGAGCAGACAGG
RNAcentral lists this ribosomal RNA (253 nucleotides) under uncultured bacterium. RNAcentral's name for it is "partial 16S ribosomal RNA". It matches the Rfam family "Bacterial small subunit ribosomal RNA", at positions 524 to 776 of the family's 1533-position model. The record is from RNAcentral.